AAAUGACAAAAUUCAAGCUGUCAUUGAAGCAGGUGUUUGUCCACGUCUGGUCGAGCUCCUCAUGCAUCCAUCUCCUUCAGUACUCAUCCCUGCCCUCCGUACAGUAGGAAAUAUUGUUACAGGAGAUGACCUCCAGACUCAGUGCAUUAUUGAACAUGGCGCCCUUGCUUGCCUGCUGAGCUUGUUAUCUCACAGUCACAAAAAGAGCAUCAAGAAAGAGGCCUGUUGGACUAUAUCAAAUAUUACUGCUGGGAACAAGGAACAGAUACAGGCUGUGAUUGAGGCUGGAUUAAUUAGUCCUCUGGUCAAUUUGCUUCAAACUGCAGAGUUUGACAUCAAAAAAGAGGCUGCCUGGGCUAUUUCAAAUGCUACUUCCGGUGGGAGUCAUGAGCAGAUCAAGUUUUUGGUGAGUCAAAACUGCAUAAAGCCUCUGUGUGAUUUGCUUGUGUGCCCUGACCCAAGGAUUGUCACGGUCUGUCUAGAAGGAUUAGAAAACAUAUUGAAGGUUGGGGAAGCAGAAAAAGCCAACACUGAAGGCAUUAAUUACUAUGCUCAGCUGAUUGAUGAUGCUGAGGGAUUGGAAAAGAUUGAAAACCUUCAGAGUCAUGAUAACAAUGAAAUAUAUGAGAAGGCUGUUAAAAUACUGGAGACAUACUGGUUGGAGGAGGAGGAUGAAACAGUGCCGGCUGGUGAUGGGGCACAAAAUGAGUUCAAUUUUGGUGGAAAUGAUAUUCAACUUCCAUCUGGUGGUUUCAAGUUUGGUUGAAAGUACUACUACACUCAUCCUCCAAUUAUCUCCCUUAGCAGGUGGUCAGGCUGUGUAUGGUGGAUGAGAAGUGCAGUUUGAAAGAUGACAUGUUGGUAGUGGUGUCAUGUCAAGUCGAGUCAGUUCACCUCCCCGAGUCUGGUCAGUCCGGGUCAAGAGUCAGUCGUGGUUGAGGAGGUGUGCCGAAAAGGGACGGUCGUAAAUAAGACUGCGUGAAAAGGUAAAAGCAGUGGGCAUGUUGGGAAUUUGAUAAACGCUUCCCGUGCAUGCUUGUAUUGUUUGGUGAAAAGUAUGAAAGUUAUUAUUAUCAGUGAAUUAGCAUCUCAGAGUGUGGAGUCCUUUUUCCAGUCAAGCACAUGAGAUGUAUCUGCAGUAGUCUGUCUGGAAAGAGUCGUCUAGAUUUUAUAUUGAGUUGGCGAGUGAAUGUGUAUACUUUAUGAGUCAUUUCUUAUUAAAUACUGCUAUUGAACAAGUUUCAGCAAAUUUUGAU
Molecule: unclassified non-coding RNA, 1256 nt
Filed under: Hevea brasiliensis (rubber tree)
Lineage: Eukaryota; Viridiplantae; Streptophyta; Magnoliopsida; Malpighiales; Euphorbiaceae
Source: RNAcentral